This is a long non-coding RNA of Nothoprocta perdicaria, 1031 nucleotides long. RefSeq lists it as uncharacterized. The record is from RefSeq and is a predicted model, not a curated record. Lineage: Eukaryota; Metazoa; Chordata; Aves; Tinamiformes; Tinamidae. The transcript has 2 exons.
AGUGUGUUAGUAGAUGGCUGGAAGAGGAAACACAGAAGUGGAAGGUGGGGRCUUUUUCCUCUUACGUGGUCAAUAUGAUCCCAUGGAUUUCAGAUGUUUCUGCCCUGUGAGUGCCACAAACCUCUGCCACAUGUGGAAGGUGUCUUUCAGUUUCCUUUGGUACUGGAUGUACACCAAGAGGAGGCCUUGCAACCCGUAACUCCACACAGGCCACCUGGCUCACUCGCAGAAUGGCUGGGACUCAGCAGUCAGUGUUUGGCAUCCUCAGGUGUAUUCAAAAUYGAAGCACAUCCUGCAUGCUAAUUUAGAAAUGUAGAGCUAUACUGACAGCAUAUUGCAUCUCAUUCCUACUUCCACAAAUGUUCUCUCUCUUUAAAAAAUUAUUUUUAUUUGUAAUUCUGGUUAAAAUACCUAUAUCUUCUCCUUUCUCUUUUUAGACCUACCAUAAUUUUCAAGGUGUUUUCAGUUUGAGAGGCUUAGCUUAUUGCUUGAUAAGUCUGCAAAUUCCAGAUGAAGACUGCUCUUUUGAAUUAAUUUGCAUGGUCUUAAAAAUAAGUCCUUAARCUCUCAGCCCAGUGAUUACCUCUAAUUGGUCCUCAUAAUUUCUCAAAGCUUGCCCUUUCAAAAUCAAAAUCUUCACUUACAGACAUACGUUUGUUUAUCCCACUGUUUCAUUUAGAAUGGAUCAGCUAGGGAUCAUUAGAUUCAGAGCUAUUUUCUACAGAGGUUCUCUUAUAACGUGACUCAUGGGAUCAUGUACUUAAUGCCCCAUCUACGCUUUUUAAUAUCUAUUGUGAGGAAGUUAUUGAAGGUAAGGACAAACACCAAGCACAGUAAUUUUGGAUAUUAGCAUAUAAUAUGUUCUAARGCCCUACCUAAAAGUGAUGGCAUUGAAAUCACAAUUUCAAGCAUUCAAUAAGAAGAACAGUUCCUAGCAAUUAAUUGUACCUAUAUUUUGGGUGCAACAUACUUAGGUAUGUAGUUAUGAAAUCACAUGCUAUUUAUUUUCUCUAGGGGACUUCUGCCUUAGA